UAAGACGAACCGUGCGAACGUUGUUCGGAAUCACUGGGCUUAAAGGGCGCGUAGGCGGAUCAGCAAGUCCGGGGUGAAAUCCUCCGGCUUAACCGGAGAAGUGCCUUGGAUACUGCUGGUCUCGAGGGAGGUAGGGGUCAUUGGAACUUCUGGUGGAGCGGUGAAAUGCGUUGAUAUCAGAAGGAACGCCGGUGGCGAAAGCGAAUGACUGGAUCUCUUCUGACGCUGAGGCGCGAAAGCUAGGGGAGCGAACGGGAUUAGAUACCCCGGUAGUCCUAGCCCUAAACGUUGGGUACUAGAUUGCGGACUUGCAUGGGUUCGCAGUCGAAGCAAAAGUGAUAAGUACCCCGCCUGGGGAGUAUGGUCGCAAGGCUG
This 375-nucleotide ribosomal RNA is filed under the name uncultured bacterium. RNAcentral describes it as "bacterial SSU rRNA". It matches the Rfam family "Bacterial small subunit ribosomal RNA", at positions 521 to 896 of the family's 1533-position model. The record is from RNAcentral.